Molecule: long non-coding RNA, 434 nt
Filed under: Androctonus crassicauda
Lineage: Eukaryota; Metazoa; Arthropoda; Arachnida; Scorpiones; Buthidae
Source: RNAcentral
AUAAAGAAUUAUGAAAAAUAUACUAAUUAUCAUUUAAUUAAUGAAUAAUCAAAAUAUUUUAUUUUCCUCGAAAUAAAUAAGUUCGCGACAUCCAUAGAAAUGCUAGAAGAACAUGAUUCUUCCCACGUAUUCUACACUUUUAACAUUUCGAAUCGGGAAAUUUUACUGAGGAAAUCAAAUUUCCGCUGGGAUUUGCUGGGGAAUCCUUUAAAUAAAUGCGGUCCAGAUCGCCAUGAUAUCAGUUGUAAACGAAUUAUCAUCGACUACAUAUCUGCUUCCCGAUUUUCAUACUUAGAGGUAUAGUUUAAUUUAAAAUAUUAAUUUAAAUAUUGAAUAUUUUUAUAACUUUGUCGUUUAGUAAAUUAAUUUUUAAAGCUAGCAUUUUGUAAGUAUCAAAACGCUAGAAACUGUGAAUUUUAUUGGUGUGUACCCCC